Molecule: non-coding RNA, 570 nt
Organism: Pelobates cultripes (western spadefoot toad)
Lineage: Eukaryota; Metazoa; Chordata; Amphibia; Anura; Pelobatidae
Source: the annotation of a GenBank genome assembly
CCUUUCUAUGCCAGGAGCGCUGCAGCAGAGCACUGCAUCCCUUACAGCAAGCGGGUCAGGUCUGGGAGAUGGAGAGGAGGUUUGCUGCUAGCUGGACAGGUCCAUGCUGCGGGAUUAUGAGAGCAGGUCUGGUUCAUGCAGUGGGUCAAAUCUGGGUGAUGGGAUUUGUGCUGCUAGCUGUCAAGGUCCAUGUUGUAUGUCAACUUGGAUGAUGGGAGUUGUGCUGCUAGCUGUCCAGGUCCAUGCAGUGUGUUAAGCCAGCGUGAUGGGAGUUGUGCUGCUAGCUGUCCAGGUCCAUGCAGUGUGUUAAGCCGGCGUGAUGGGAGUUGUGUUGCUUGCUGUUCAGGUCAAUGCAGUGUGUUAAGCCAGCGUGAUGGGAGUUGUGUUGCUAGCUGUACAUGUCUACGCAGUGGGUAAAGCCUGCGUGAUGGGAUUUGUGUUGCUAGCUGCCUGGUUCUAUGCAGUGUGAUGAGAGUUGUACUGCUAGCUGUCCAGGUCCAUGCAGUGUGUUAAGCCAGGGUGAUGGGAGCUGGGGUGCAUGGAGUUCCCAAGGCUGGAGGCAGGCUGGAG